Molecule: long non-coding RNA, 976 nt
Filed under: Zonotrichia albicollis (white-throated sparrow)
Lineage: Eukaryota; Metazoa; Chordata; Aves; Passeriformes; Passerellidae
Description: lncRNA (ENSZALG00000014735.1)
Source: RNAcentral
GUAAAUUUUGAAGUCCCUGCUGAAAAAUAAGAAAAGUGAGUGUAUUCGCUUUUAUUUCAAACUUCCCCUGUUUCCAUGGCAAUAUCCCAGUGAGGUACCAAGAGGAGAUGCUGGGAUAUGAGGUAUUUAACAGUUCUUUCUCUGAGCAUCGUGAAAGGCAAUGCUGAGAUCCAUGCGUAAAGAAAAGCGAGCUGGGAAUGACAUGGGGACACUGCAGAAUUAUUGCACAGAGGAAGAGAAAAUUCCAACACCCUGUGAAUCCACAGAGGGAAAAGGCAUUGCAGAUGUGUGCUGGAAUUUCCUGGAGACAUCCUGCAUUCUUGCAGCCUCCCUUCUCUGGAAGAAAAGAAACCGAUAUAACCAUGCAAAUGUCCCUGCGCUCUGCCUCCGGCUAUAAGCUUAAGAAUUAAAAGCUUGACAACGCUGAGUUGUAGACAACACCCCUUCAAUACUUUCUGGCUCAGUGGCUCUGUGAAAACCUCUUUGAAGGUGCAGCUCUUCAAAAAAGGCUCUGCAGCAGCACAACCGAAAUGUUUGCUGCUAAAUAUAGAAGUGCACUUGCUCUGAGCGAGGCUGGUUUGCUUCAGGUUCACCUUUGGAGCUGCAUUUAUAGCUACAGUAUGGAUUUUAAGGAGAAAAAGGGAGAGGUAGGAGCAAGAAAGCGAAGAAUUAGACAGUAAGAGUGCCUGUUGAGGGGGGAAAGGCUCUGACUAGUAAAGCUGGGCUGCAAGGCAACAAUUUGAUGUGGCCAUGGAAAUGCAAACACACAAUAAGACAUAUUAGUCAGGAGAGGGGAUUAAUUCACCAUAGCCAGAUGCAAACCCUAUGGUUUUAAACACUGGUGAAACACUGUCUGAAUGCUCUGUGCACAGCUCUCCACACCAAAUUUGAAGGAAUACAUGUUCAGAGCAGAAGGAGUGGAGGAAUAAUAUGAAUUAUUAUGUGGGAAGGCAGGCAGAGGUCAGUGAGAGCUGGG